GGAAGCUAGGUAACUAGUGAAGCUAACCAGUACUAAUUGAUCGUGAGGCUUGAUCUUAUAACAUUA
This 66-nucleotide ribosomal RNA is filed under the name Gammaproteobacteria bacterium. Its description in RNAcentral is "partial 23S ribosomal RNA". Lineage: Bacteria; Pseudomonadati; Pseudomonadota; Gammaproteobacteria. The record is from RNAcentral.